Molecule: ribosomal RNA, 496 nt
Filed under: uncultured bacterium
Lineage: Bacteria
Description: partial 16S ribosomal RNA
Rfam family: Bacterial small subunit ribosomal RNA
Source: RNAcentral
GAUGAACGCUGGCGGCGUGCCUAAUACAUGCAAGUCGAGCGAACAGAUAAGGAGCUUGCUCCUUUGACGUUAGCGGCGGACGGGUGAGUAACACGUGGGUAACCUACCUAUAAGACUGGGAUAACUCCGGGAAACCGGGCCAAUGCCGGAUAACAUUUAGAACCGCAUGGUUCUAAAGUGAAAGAUGGUUUUGCUUUCACUUAUAGAUGGACCCGCGCCGUAUUAGCUAGUUGGUAAGGUAACGGCUUACCAAGGCAACGAUGCAUAGCCGAACUGAGAGGGUGAUCGGCCACACUGGAACUGAGACCAGGUCCAGACUCCUACGGGAGGCAGCAGUAGGGAAUCUUCCGCAAUGGGCGAAAGCCUGACGGAGCAACGCCGCGUGAGUGAUGAAGGUCUUCGGAUCGUAAAACUCUGUUAUUAGGGAAGAACAAAUGUGUAAGUAACUGUGCACGUCUUGACGGUACCUAAUCAGAAAGCCACGGCUAACUACGUG